CCCAAUAAAUAUAACCAAAAAUGUCAAAUUAUAUUCAUAACUUAACAAUUCAUUCCGCGAACAGAACUAUUGUCACACCAAAGAACGGUUGUAUUUGAUUGUUUCAAUGCUGGCAUGAUCAUUAUUUAGAGGUAGUCUAUCAGAAUGGGACAAGAUUUACAGUACCGCCUAGAGAAUGACGAGUGGAACCAAUAUUGACAAGCAUUUGUACAAAUUUGUUGCUUGAAAUAGCGAAAUUGUUUAUGAUUUGUAUGUUCCAUCGCAAUAGUAGGAGAUCAAAGAGCCAGGGAGGGUACAACCAAAAGGAAUCCACAAAGAAUAAAACAAACGUGACACACAAUGGAGAGGUCGCUCAGAGGUUGCAAACUGCUGUGAAUGAGGUAAUGCGGGUAUGACGCUUACCCACACCUCUUCUUACCGCCUGGAUUAAAAACAAUUCAUUUGGAGCCCAAUGCGACUAUGAAAAAUAACUCAAAUCUUGCAUGUCAAUGUUUUGCAGAUCCUCUUCCUUUAUAUAACAGUUCUUAAAUACUUCUUUGUACAUCUACUUGGAUGAAUUUCACCAGCACAAUGCAUCGUGUAGCAUGAAUCAUGUAUCAGUUGUCAUCUUUCAUGUUUUAAGUGCUGCACUAUCGUAAGAAGUCCAUCACCGAUCCCUUAUCCGGCUAUGUUGCUGAACGCGCACAAUGAUCUUCAAUAACGACUAUUAAAUAGAGUUUUUAAAGUCUCAACUUGGGGUCUUCAAGUGCGUAAAUAGAGUACUAUGGCAACCAGACUCAGGUAAAUGGAUAUUUGUUACUAUUUAAAUGGUAAGGGAAAUCGAAUGAAGAUCGACAGUUCUUCGUGCUUACUUUAUUUUAUAGAUCACAUUACUCUGCAAUAAAAUACGACAUGGAAAUUUGUAAUAUUUUUC
Long non-coding RNA from Drosophila miranda, 913 nucleotides. RefSeq lists it as uncharacterized. Lineage: Eukaryota; Metazoa; Arthropoda; Insecta; Diptera; Drosophilidae. The transcript is spliced from 3 exons. The record is from RefSeq and is a predicted model, not a curated record.